CGGGCCUGCAGUGGGUACGGGCAGGCUAGAGUGCGGUAGGGGAGAUUGGAAUUCCUGGUGUAGCGGUGGAAUGCGCAGAUAUCAGGAGGAACACCGAUGGCGAAGGCAGAUCUCUGGGCCGUAACUGACGCUGAGGAGCGAAAGGGUGGGGAGCAAACAGGCUUAGAUACCCUGGUAGUCCACCCCGUAAACGUUGGGAACUAGUUGUGGGGUCCAUUCCACGGAUCCCGUGACGCAGCUAACGCAUUAAGUUCCCCGCCUGGGGAGUACGGCCGCAAGGCUAAAACUCAAAGGAAUUGACGGGGACCCGCACAAGCGGCGGAGCAUGCGGAUUAAUUCGAUGCAACGCGAAGAACCUUACCAAGGCUUGACAUAUACGAGAACGCUGCAGAAAUGUAGAACUCUUUGGACACUCGUAAACAGGUGGUGCAUGGUUGUCGUCAGCUCGUGUCGUGAGAUGUUGGGUUAAGUCCCGCAACGAGCGCAACCCUCGUUCUAUGUUGCCAGCACGUAAUGGUGGGAACUCAUGGGAUACUGCCGGGGUCAACUCGGAGGAAGGUGGGGAUGACGUCAAAUCAUCAUGCCCCUUAUGUCUUGGGCUUCACGCAUGCUACAAUGGCCGGUACAAAGGGCUGCAAUACCGCAAGGUGGAGCGAAUCCCAAAAAGCCGGUCCCAGUUCGGAUUGAGGUCUGCAACUCGACCUCAUGAAGUCGGAGUCGCUAGUAAUCGCAGAUCAGCAACGCUGCGGUGAAUACGUUCCCGGGUCUUGUACACACCGCCCGUCAAGUCAUGAAAGUCGGUAACACCUGAAGCCGGUGGCCCAACCCUUGUGGAGGGAGCCGUCGAAGGUGGGAUCGGUAAUUAGGACUAAGUCGUAACAAGGUAACCGU
This 891-nucleotide ribosomal RNA is filed under the name uncultured Microbacterium sp. Its description in RNAcentral is "bacterial SSU rRNA". It matches the Rfam family "Bacterial small subunit ribosomal RNA", at positions 616 to 1503 of the family's 1533-position model. The record is from RNAcentral. Lineage: Bacteria; Bacillati; Actinomycetota; Actinomycetes; Micrococcales; Microbacteriaceae.